AAAAAAAGAGGUCGGUGAAAUGAGAAAGCUAGGCCCACAAGCAGCCACAAAAAGGCCGACUCUAUGAUAUAAAAAUGGAACCCAAUGCAUAAAAGUUCACUCUUUUCUUCUUCUCUCAUUUUAUCACAUUUUUUUUUUUUUGUUACACUAUAUAAAGUUUACAUUUUUCUUUCUUUUUCUAUCUGCCAACAAAGUUAUAGUCUUUACACUAUAU
Molecule: long non-coding RNA, 214 nt
Filed under: Capsella rubella
Lineage: Eukaryota; Viridiplantae; Streptophyta; Magnoliopsida; Brassicales; Brassicaceae
Description: long non-coding RNA (CRUB_LNC002428)
Source: RNAcentral